Molecule: long non-coding RNA, 550 nt
Organism: Cydia pomonella (codling moth)
Lineage: Eukaryota; Metazoa; Arthropoda; Insecta; Lepidoptera; Tortricidae
Exons: 7
Source: RefSeq, a predicted model, not a curated record
UCCGUUAACAAUUUUGGCCAUAUUUCCUGUAUCGCGUAAUGAACGAAUACUCGUAGACAGCUUCAAGACCGUAAUCUAACAGCGGCAUGUGGUCAGGGGUUAUCCGUAUGUUUAAAUAAGUAAAUAUUGACUUUUAUCUCGUUAUAAAAGAUUUGCUGGAACCUCUAUAGCCACAGAUUUAUCUUUGUUUCCGACCAAUACACAAUUAUUAGCCAUGAACAAAAUUACAUUCGUUUUGUUGCUGGUCGCUUUGUUCGCGAUCACAAAGGCGCAUCCUCAAGGCGUGAACGUCGUUGAUCAGGCGGGAGGCGGCGGAGUGAGCGUCGUUGAUAACAACCCAGGCUACGUACAUGUAGUAGACGGAGAAAGUCAAGUUAAUGUCGUGGACAACCCAGGACCUCCGAACGGAGCCAGGGCCGGAGGCAACUGACUUCAAAUAGAAGAAAUGGAUGACUCCUAUUCUAAUGGAAAACUUUAAAUAGAUUAACAUAUACUUAAUUAAUACAAACGCUACUUAGCUUACGUGAUUAAAUGUUUUAAAUCUAUAUAA